RNAcentral lists this ribosomal RNA (1356 nucleotides) under Triticum aestivum (bread wheat). Its description in RNAcentral is "partial small subunit ribosomal RNA". The record is from RNAcentral. Lineage: Eukaryota; Viridiplantae; Streptophyta; Magnoliopsida; Poales; Poaceae.
AUGCGCUGGCAAAGUUACUCACUCCGUUCUCUCACCUCCCCGUGCCACCACAGCCGCCGCCUCCCCCACCAACCUGCCCCGAUCCGCUCCCGACCUCCGAGGCAAUCAGCGUCCGCCGCGGCCGCCAUGGCGUUCGAGAAGAUCAAGGUCGCCAACCCCAUCGUCGAGAUGGACGGCGAUGAGAUGACCAGAGUAUUCUGGCAGUCUAUCAAGGACAAGCUUAUCUUCCCAUUUUUGGACUUGGACAUUAAGUACUUUGACUUGGGAGUUCUACACCGCGAUGCAACUGAUGACAAGGUUACAGUGGAGGCUGCAGAGGCUACUCUCAAGUACAAUGUGGCUAUUAAAUGUGCAACUAUUACUCCAGAUGAAGAUCGGGUUAAGGAGUUCAACCUAAAACAAAUGUGGAGGAGCCCAAAUGGCACAAUUAGGAACAUUAUAAACGGCACCGUGUUCAGAGAGCCAAUUAUAUGCAAGAAUGUCCCAAAGCUUGUUCCAGGAUGGACUAAGCCCAUCUGCAUUGGAAGGCAUGCUUUCGGUGAUCAGUACAGAGCAACUGAUGCAGUUCUCAAGGGACCUGGCAAACUCAGACUAGUGUUCGAGGGAAAAGACGAGACGGUUGACCUUGAGGUUUUUAACUUCACUGGUGCUGGAGGAGUCGCCAUGGCUAUGUACAACACAGAUGAGUCAAUUCGAGGUUUUGCUGAAGCUUCUAUGGCAAUCGCUUAUGAGAAGAAAUGGCCAUUGUACCUUAGCACAAAAAACACAAUCCUUAAGAAAUAUGAUGGCAGGUUCAAGGACAUUUUCCAGGAGAUCUAUGAAGCUGGCUGGAAAUCCAAAUAUGAGGCUGCUGGAAUAUGGUAUGAACAUCGUCUCAUUGAUGACAUGGUUGCCUAUGCACUUAAGAGCGAAGGAGGCUAUGUUUGGGCUUGCAAGAACUAUGACGGAGAUGUGCAGAGUGAUUUCUUAGCUCAAGGUUUUGGCUCUUUGGGCUUGAUGACGUCAGUAUUGAUGUGCCCUGAUGGUAAAACCAUCGAAGCUGAAGCUGCCCAUGGCACAGUUACCCGCCAUUUCCGUGUUCACCAGAAAGGUGGUGAAACCAGCACAAACAGCAUUGCUUCAAUCUUUGCUUGGACAAGAGGACUUGCACACAGGGCAAAGCUAGACGAGAAUGCUAGACUUCUUGAAUUUGCACAGAAACUUGAGGAAGCGUGCGUCGGAACUGUGGAGUCUGGGAAGAUGACCAAGGACCUUGCACUCCUUGUCCAUGGAUCCUCAAAAGUUACAAGAAGCGAUUACCUGAACACUGAAGAGUUCAUUGACGCUGUUGCUGCUGAGCUCAAAUCAAGACUGUGA